CUACAGCGAUCCUUUCUACAUGCGUCUCCCUUCUGCAGGCUUCUUAAAAAAUGAAAAGAUAGAAGAAGGGUUUUCAACACUUGACUGGAUGAAACCCCAAGGAACCUGAUCAAUAUUCAAAGAUAUAUAAUCAGCAAGGAAUUGUCUUUAUCAGUCAGUAAAGUACCGUGUGUCACCCAUUGUAAGGACCUAAUGCCAUGUUGAAGUAUUGCAGGACAGUAAAAGGUAAAACCAAUCCUGAUAAAGGAUAUAAAAGGGUCUGGUAAAUUACCACAAGUUUCUGUUUUCAGAGUGGACAUCUGUCUGAAAGAUGGCCUCAUCAACUAAAGAAACAACUAUGCUCUUUAAGUAAUCAAUGCUCAAUUACAAUGAUGACCCCCUUUUUGUUUUGGGGGCACUGAUGAUCUUUGCUGACUGAGUU
Molecule: long non-coding RNA, 421 nt
Filed under: Anas zonorhyncha (Eastern spot-billed duck)
Lineage: Eukaryota; Metazoa; Chordata; Aves; Anseriformes; Anatidae
Description: lncRNA (ENSAZOG00000014374.1)
Source: RNAcentral